GAUGAACGCUGGCGGCGUGCCUAAUACAUGCAAGUCGAGCGAACAGACGAGGAGCUUGCUCCUCUGACGUUAGCGGCGGACGGGUGAGUAACACGUGGAUAACCUACCUAUAAGACUGGGAUAACUUCGGGAAACCGGAGCUAAUACCGGAUAAUAUAUUGAACCGCAUGGUUCAAUAGUGAAAGACGGUUUUGCUGUCACUUAUAGAUGGAUCCGCGCCGCAUUAGCUAGUUGGUAAGGUAACGGCUUACCAAGGCAACGAUGCGUAGCCGACCUGAGAGGGUGAUCGGUCACACUGGAACUGAGACACGGUCCAGACUCCUACGGGAGGCAGCAGUAGGGAAUCUUCCGCAAUGGGCGAAAGCCUGACGGAGCAACGCCGCGUGAGUGAUGAAGGUCUUCGGAUCGUAAAACUCUGUUAUUAGGGAAGAACAAAUGUGUAAGCAACUAUGCACGUCUUGACGGUACCUAAUCAGAAAGCCACGGCUAACUACGUG
This 497-nucleotide ribosomal RNA is filed under the name uncultured bacterium. RNAcentral's name for it is "partial 16S ribosomal RNA". It matches the Rfam family "Bacterial small subunit ribosomal RNA", at positions 28 to 507 of the family's 1533-position model. The record is from RNAcentral.